Long non-coding RNA from Triticum dicoccoides, 2117 nucleotides. RefSeq lists it as uncharacterized. The transcript is spliced from 6 exons. The record is from RefSeq and is a predicted model, not a curated record. Lineage: Eukaryota; Viridiplantae; Streptophyta; Magnoliopsida; Poales; Poaceae.
CUUUGGCGCCGCCGGGCUCUCCUCCUACCCCUGUGCCGCCUCCCCCUGUCAAUCUCCACCGCGGCCGACUGGAUUCUCCUACACCCGUACGCCGCCUAGCCCCCCUGCCAGUAUCCACAGCGGCUGGCUGCCGUUUUUGUCCACUAUGCCGCCGCCGGGCUACCUCCUCCUGCAUCCUUGCACCGCCUAGAUCUCCACUGCAGAGGGGCAAGGAGAAGACAUCAGGGGGCCACCAUCAGCAACACUGUACUUUAACUGCAACAUCGUUGGUAGCUUCACCAACAAAUAGUCGAGUCAGUGGUUCAUGACCAUGCUAUAUACUGAUGAUAUAUUCUUAACGAAGUCUGCUAAAGGUAGUUUUUACCAUAUUUUCGAACCUGACCGAUAUGUUCGGAUGCACUGAACUAAGGUUUGCCUUUGACUUCUUUCGAUGAAUUUCUGGUUGUCCUGGUGAACAUGGAGACACUUAAAUUGCUUUAUUUGGAUUCUGGAGUGAGCUUGCUGCCCUUCUCCUCAGAGAGAGACAUACCAUUCGUACAAAAGUAUUAAGCAUUGGAUGUAAAGUGGAUUACCCACUCGGUAAUAAAACAAUAUGUAGCAUGUAUUAAGCUGAAUCAUGCUUAUAACACUGAAGAACAUAGUAAUUUCCAAAAUGCAAGUAAGAAGCUGCAGUUUUGGAGGAUUUUUGAUUAAAAAUUGACAAGUGCCACUCACCUAAGUUGUGUUUUCAGGUCAUCCUACCCCGCAUCAGUAAGGCAAGUGGUAGCAUAUCCUGAAAAUCCCUUUUUCCGAUUGUCUAAACACAUGCAACAACUAAUUGACGUCUUGUCAGGUUUGUUACGGAGUCCAACUUGUAAAUUGUACUUUCACCAAGGGAGUUUUACUUGUCAGAUAGAUAAUUUAACAUCAGUGUUUGAACAAUCAUUGGAUGAAACAGAUUAGAGCAUUUUGGUUUUGGUCCUUCACAGACGGCCAGUAGGAAAUUCAACAUUCAGAACAAUUCUGACUGAAGUACGGGUGUAAGCUUUUUGCUGGUGUGGUUCUUUGCAUGCAGCUACAAUUUUAGUUAUGGUUUUAGUAGUAGUUUAGGAGCACACAGUCAUAAUGCUUCAUUAUUGUUUAUGGUAGCUGUCUUUUUUCCGUACUAAUCCAGGGCACAACCAAAGUGUUACUUGGUUGGUUAUGGUACAAGACAUUGGACACGGAUACAAUAUUUUUUAUACUUUGCACGUGGUUUGUGAAGAUUGUAUUAUAGCUACAUUGACAAUAUUUUAGGCUGAAAAUAUCUGCCUGCUAAAAUGUUGUCUAUGUUAUGGUGAAGCCAUGGAGAAGAACACAUUGUUCAACAUAUGAGGGAUUAUUUUUGGAAGUUAGUAGUAUGCUUGCACAAGAAACGAACGAACUUAAGAAGGAUCAGCUUGCUGAGAAAUCACCUAUUAAAGAGUUUGCCUUGCAAAAAAUCUGGGAAUACAUCAGGUCAAGGAAAUUAGGAAUGGUAAGGAGGCAAGGAUUAGUUUCAUGAUCAUGGAGAAUCUUUUAUUUGGUCAUAGAUAUGAUCUGAAGGGUGCUCUUUUCUCAUGAUAUGCUGCUGAUCAACAAAUCCCAAGAGUGUAUUGUUGGGUCAAAAUUUUAUUGAAGACAUGCCUACCAUGCCUAUCCACAUUAAAGGAAAAACCAAAAACUUCCUGGAAUGUGCUCUUUGCAACCAUACGUCAUUUUUAUGUAGCAUGAAUUUCAUGGAUUACUCCAUGUUAGUUGGAGUGGACAAACAGAAGAAGGAAUUUGUAUUUAGAAUAAAAGAUUACUUGAGGCAAUAUGCCUGGGACAAACAACUAGAGUCGUGGGUGAAGACAUACCUUGUUAUUUCCAAGAAUCUAUCUCCAACAGUAAUCUCACCGAAGGAGUACAAAUUAAGAUUCAGGGCAUUUAUGUCUCAGUAUUUCAAAUCAGUCCUAGAUGCUCGAGUCUUGAGGAAUGACUGUUUGUAAUGUUGGUAGAUGAACUUAUCUUGAAUUCUUGAGUAUCGUUCAUGCUGCCAUGGUCCAUGUCUUACCGAAAAAUAUGGCUUAAUCCAUGUUUAGCAUGCGUAAAACGUUGGAUGUGUCCAGCGUUAAGUU